UUAGGGUUGGAGUCCGAGCAGAAACGACUUCGUCACCACGCCUGGUAGCGUUAGCCUAGCCCUAGCCCUAAUCCUAACCCUAAUUUCUGUUUCUUCUUCUCUCUAUAGAAUGGUGGAUAUGCAAUUUGGGGUUGUGGAUUGUUGGAUGAUCAAUAGAGGGAGGGGUUGGAAGAGAGAAGAUGAAGGCGACUGUGAGUUCCUGAAUUUGAAAUUCUCAGUGGAUUGGGGUUCCGCUUUGUUAUUGUUCUGGAAUUGAGCUGAUUUCGGCGCUUCAUGCAAUUGAUAUCAGUGGCUGCAGAGGAAUGGUUAUGCUGUUACAGAUACAUGAAAUGCAAAAGAAUUAUCUCUGGAAUCAGGGAGCCAACCACAAAGGCAACUCCUAAAUCCUGUUGAGAAGUUUGCCAUCAGUUCACAAGAGUCAACAUGGAAGCAUAGUCCAUGAAGUGGAGCAGUUUGAGCAUGCUGAUAAACUAACCUCAUGGUUUUUUUGGAAAGUAAAGACAUAUAUUACUCGAUUUCUUGAAAAUAUAAGGUGCUCUUCCUUUUCACAUGAAAAACUUAGUGUGCUCAUGAAGUAACAGGCUCUUCUUUAUCUUGGGUUUCAAUGGCACGCCAAGUCUACCCAGAUAGUACUGUAAAAUAUAAUAAACCAUCAGAUAUUGGGAUGGAAAGAGACAACAGAAGCCUGACAAAAGAUCUGCGGUUCUUAUUUCUUGGUGGUUUUGGGGAGAAAGUAUGAGCCUAUUUGCUUCCAUCACUUUGAGGUUAUUACCAAUCAACUUGAGAAGCCUUCUCAUCAUAUGGGGACAAUGAAGCAAAAGGGAAUGGAUGUUUAUGUGAAGUAAGUUAUUGAUUGGUUGGAGGAUGUGGAGCGACUUGUGUUAAUGACAUGCAGAAAGCACUUUUGAUAUUGACAUUCUCAACAUUGUUAUAGGAAAUUUUUUACUUCAUCUGCUUUCAAGGAUAUGUUUAUGGAAGCAAAACUCACGAGGAAAAGGGUGCUACUCUUUAAACAUAUAUGUGUAAAUGCUAUGUAAGUUCUUUUGUCUCUCCAAUCAGCUAGAUGUUUCUUAGUUCUAACUAGCGGUGAAUGAAGAGGAUGGCCAGCCCCAACGCAAUUUGGAUCUUUCAUCUUUGUUGUAACCCCAUGUUGGUUCUGUUAAAUUUCCCCAAAAGAAGAGGGGAUUGAAAAAAAAAUGCUUGGUUUGAUUGCUUUAGUAGUAUUUCUUUGUCAGGGACAUUUGAUUUAAAUAAAAUUCCAUCUUAUGGUUA
Long non-coding RNA from Vitis riparia (riverbank grape), 1272 nucleotides. RefSeq lists it as uncharacterized. NCBI's taxonomy places the organism in Eukaryota, Viridiplantae, Streptophyta, Magnoliopsida, Vitales, Vitaceae. The record is from RefSeq and is a predicted model, not a curated record. The transcript is spliced from 4 exons.